AUGUGCUCCCUACCAAACCACGGCAUCAUCUGCUUUAAUCCCACCCAUACAGGCCAUGUUUGUAGCAUGAAAGGCCUAUUCUGUUGGAGCCGUGCAUGGCCGACCUAUGAUUGCUCUCGCGUACCUUUGCGCGAUGGCGGCCUGCUGCAACGCAAGGAACUCACCGAGCGGCGGCAGGAUCGAGACGGAGAGCAGUGCCGUGUUGAUGUCCAGCGUGUCCAGGUUCUUGAGUCGGCUAAGCUCGCCGUCGCCGGGAGGGGGCCAGAGGUGUUGGUCUCCCCGAGGCCGAGCAUGAUGAGGUUGGAGCAGUAG
Molecule: ribosomal RNA, 312 nt
Filed under: Triticum aestivum (bread wheat)
Lineage: Eukaryota; Viridiplantae; Streptophyta; Magnoliopsida; Poales; Poaceae
Description: partial small subunit ribosomal RNA
Source: RNAcentral